Molecule: ribosomal RNA, 460 nt
Filed under: uncultured bacterium
Lineage: Bacteria
Description: partial 16S ribosomal RNA
Rfam family: Bacterial small subunit ribosomal RNA
Source: RNAcentral
CCUACGGGUGGCAGCAGUGAGGAAUAUUGGUCAAUGGGCUUACGCCUGAACCAGCCAAGUCGCGUGAGGGAAGACUGCCCUAUGGGUUGUAAACCUCUUUUGUCAGGGAGCAACGCCGGCUACGUGUAGCCGGACUGAGAGUACCUGAAGAAAAAGCAUCGGCUAACUCCGUGCCAGCAGCCGCGGUAAUACGGAGGAUGCGAGCGUUAUCCGGAUUUGUUGGGUGUAAAGGGUGCGUAGGCGGAAUGCCAAGUCAGCGGUAAAAUCGCGGGGCUCAACCUCGCUCCGCCGUUGAAACUGGCGGUCUUGAGUGGGCGAGAAGUAUGCGGAAUGCGUGGUGUAGCGGUGAAAUGCAUAGAUAUCACGCAGAACUCCGAUUGCGAAGGCAGCAUACCGGCGCCCAACUGACGCUGAAGCACGAAAGCGUGGGUAUCGAACAGGAUUAGAUACCCCAGUAGUC